UGUGGGAGCGAGCCUGCUCGCGAUAGCGGUAUGUCAGUCACAUUGAUGCUGACUGAUCCAACGCCAUCGCGAGCAGGCUCGCUCCCACA
Molecule: unclassified non-coding RNA, 89 nt
Filed under: Pseudomonas brassicacearum
Lineage: Bacteria; Pseudomonadati; Pseudomonadota; Gammaproteobacteria; Pseudomonadales; Pseudomonadaceae
Source: RNAcentral